UUGAGUCCACGUGGAAGGCAUGUGCUUAACCACCUCCCUUCUCCUCCCUCCCAACUGCCGGGAACAUGGACUUACAAUCAAAUUACACAGAAGAAAGGCAAGACUGGAAAGAUAAAGUGCCUUGUUCAAGAUCAUCAGCAGUGGACAGCAACUGGAAACUCUGAAGAGUGUGAACUCUGUGAGCAAUGAAUGAAUUGGUGAUUGGGUGAACCACUUAAACCCUUUAAUUAGAAAAUAAGGAAAGAAAUUGGGGAAGUUUGGAGAGUGAAAGAUGUUGCUAUGAAUACUCAUUGCCGGACAACAGGAUGCUCCCAGGGAGACUGGGGUCUAUGGCCAGCUUCAUAUGUCACAACACACAAGGGAGGAGAGAGAUGGCAUUUCCUGCUGACUUUACCUGAAAGGAAAAACCAGUUUCUCAGAAGCCCUAAAUGAAGCCCUUCCCGAGAUUCACUGGCUUGAGUUGGGUAAUGUCGCCAUAAUGAUCCAAAUCCUCUGGGAAUGCCAAAUGCUGAUUGUGUUUUUGAGCUCUUCAGUCAGUACAUAGAUAAAUUACCUUAGACCAGCGAUUUUCAAAGUGCAGUUAGGGGACCUCUAGGGGCCCCUGAGACCCAUU
Molecule: long non-coding RNA, 613 nt
Organism: Leopardus geoffroyi (Geoffroy's cat)
Lineage: Eukaryota; Metazoa; Chordata; Mammalia; Carnivora; Felidae
Exons: 3
Source: RefSeq, a predicted model, not a curated record